UGGGGAAUAUUGCACAAUGGGCGAAAGCCUGAUGCAGCGACGCCGCGUGAGGGAUGAAGGCCUUCGGGUUGUAAACCUCUUUCAGCAGGGAAGAAGCGCAAGCGACGGUACCUGCAGAAGAAGCGCCGGCUAACUACGUGCCAGCAGCCGCGGUAAUACGUAGGGCGCAAGCGUUGUCCGGAAUUAUUGGGCGUAAAGAGCUCGUAGGCGGUUUGUCGCGUCUGGUGUGAAAACUCGAGGCUCAACCUCGAGCUUGCAUCGGGUACGGGCAGACUAGAGUGCGGUAGGGGAGACUGGAAUUCCUGGUGUAGCGGUGGAAUGCGCAGAUAUCAGGAGGAACACCGAUGGCGAAGGCAGGUCUCUGGGCCGCAACUGACGCUGAGGAGCGAAAGCAUGGGGAGCGAACA
Molecule: ribosomal RNA, 407 nt
Filed under: uncultured bacterium
Lineage: Bacteria
Description: partial 16S ribosomal RNA
Rfam family: Bacterial small subunit ribosomal RNA
Source: RNAcentral